CUCGUGAUAGAAGGGACAUUAUGCUCAACAUUCAACUCUGAAUCUAGAGUGGAGGAGCAAAACUGGCACGCGCCUGUCACUGUGUCCUCGCGAGGGGCAUAGCCCAUAAUUCUCAGGGCUUAACUAGGAUUUCACAGCCCGGUUAAAGUCUUUUGGCGGUAGCUCUGAAUUAGAACUACAUGGUCCUAAAAGGUGGUGGCGGGCCGCCUUCCAUAUCCUUAUAGUUACAGGUCCUCGCGACCAUACCUGCGCCAGGGCGGUGGGGAAUUAAUGGCGUUAUGCUGCGGCGACUAAGGGGAGGGGAAACUCACCUUAACACUUAGGCGACUCAUCGUUUACGAGCGUGGAGGUAGCAGGGUAUCUAAUGCGUGUUCUCUCCUCAGUGCUUUCGACUCUUCGGCGUCAGUUAGUGGGGAGGGGAGUCGCUUUCGAUCACCUGGUUUGUCCUCCACAUCUACUACGACGUGUGAUCAGUGCUACAGGUGGAUUUCCGCUCUCCUCUGUGCUGCAGCUCAAGUUUCCCAGUUUCCAAUGACCCUCAGCGUCGGUUGAGUCCGGUGGCAAGUUUGACACUCAAUGGACUUGACGAGGGCCCGCACAUGCGGUGGAGCAUGUGGUUUAAUUCGAAGCAACGCGAAUAACCUUACCAGGUCUUGACAUCGCUCUGACCACCCUAGCGAUAGGGCUUUCCCUUCGGGGACAGAGUGACAGGUGGUGCAUGGUUGUCGUCAGCUCGUGUCGUGAGAUGUCUGGGUUAGGUCCCGUCAAGGUGCAAGCAGUUACUCUUGCACUUGUUAGUUGCCAGCAUAUCAGCUGGGCAGUAUUAGGUGACUGCCGGUGACAAACCUUGAUGACUCAGGUGGGGUUGCUCCGUCAGACUCUUCAUGCUCCUUAUGACCUGGAAGAUUACCCUACGUGUUGCCUCCGGAUAGGAGUCAAUGGGCCGUGUCUGAGUCCGCAAGGUUUGGCCGAUCACCACAAAUCUGUUUUCAGUUCGGCUACGCAGUCGUUGCAACUUGAGUGAGCCGUGUAGCUGGCAUCAGCUAGCUAAUGCGCCGCGGGUCCAUCAUGUCCGUGACAGCCGAAUACCGUCUUUCGGUCCUUGUACACAUGCGCGUGUCACAGGACACGUGAGUCCGGUAUUAGCUCCGAAGUUUCCGGUGAGUUAUCCCAGUCUUACAGGACAGCGUCGUACGCGGAUCGUGAAUAUAGCUCACGCCGUCCGCCGCUA
This 1231-nucleotide ribosomal RNA is filed under the name Bacillaceae bacterium CASVJ. Its description in RNAcentral is "partial 16S ribosomal RNA". The stretch from base 551 to 1109 matches the Rfam family "Bacterial small subunit ribosomal RNA", at positions 875 to 1387 of the family's 1533-position model. Lineage: Bacteria; Bacillati; Bacillota; Bacilli; Caryophanales; Bacillaceae. The record is from RNAcentral.